This 253-nucleotide ribosomal RNA is filed under the name uncultured bacterium. RNAcentral describes it as "partial 16S ribosomal RNA". It matches the Rfam family "Bacterial small subunit ribosomal RNA", at positions 524 to 776 of the family's 1533-position model. The record is from RNAcentral.
UACGUAGGGUGCAAGCGUUAAUCGGAAUUACUGGGCGUAAAGCGUGCGCAGGCGGUUUUGUAAGUCUGACGUGAAAUCCCCGGGCUUAACCUGGGAAUUGCAUUCGAGACUGCAAGGCUAGGGUGCGGAAGAGGGAAGCGGAAUUUCCGGUGUAGCGGUGAAAUGCGUAGAGAUCGGAAAGAACACCAACGGCGAAAGCACUCUGCUGGGCCGACACUGACACUGAGAGACGAAAGCUAGGGGAGCGAAUGGG